UAGCUGUAGAAGCAAUGAUCGACUUUGC
This 28-nucleotide non-coding RNA is filed under the name Mus musculus (house mouse). Lineage: Eukaryota; Metazoa; Chordata; Mammalia; Rodentia; Muridae. The record is from RNAcentral.